RNAcentral lists this small RNA (890 nucleotides) under Pongo abelii (Sumatran orangutan). RNAcentral describes it as "processed transcript". The record is from RNAcentral. Lineage: Eukaryota; Metazoa; Chordata; Mammalia; Primates; Hominidae.
AGAUGGCGACUCCCUAUGUUACUGACGAGACCGGCGGGGUGGGAACCGCCAAACCUCUCCCUUCUUUUUGACUUCACCCUUGGAUACCAUCAAGGCCAGAGGAUGGAACCAAGAUAACAUAAAAUAGGCAAGUAUAUCGCGUCAACACAGCGACCUGACGGGACCUGGCGCAAGCAGCGGAGGGUGAAAGAAGGAUAUGUGCCCCAGGAGGAGGUCCCAGUAUAUGAAAACAAGUACGUGAAGUUUUUCAAGAGUAAACCAGAGUUGCCCCCAGGGCUAAGCCCUGAGGCCACUGCUCCUGUCACCCCAUCCAGGCCUGAAGGUGGUGAACCAGGCCUCUCCAAGACAGCCAAACGCAACCUGAAGCGAAAGGAGAAGAGGCGGCAGCAGCAAGAGAAAGGAGAGGCAGAGGCCUUGAGCAGGACUCUUGAUAAGGUGUCUCUGGAAGAGACAGCCCAACUCCACAGUGCUCCACAGGGCUCCCGGGCAGCCCCCACAGCUGCAUCUGACCAGCCUGACUCAGUUGCCACCACUGAGAAAGCCAAGAAGAUAAAGAACCUAAGGAAGAAGCUCCGGCAGGUGGAAGAGCUGCAGCAGCGGAUCCAGGCUGGGGAAGUCAGCCAGCCCAGCAAAGAGCAGCUGGAAAAACUAGCAAGGAGGAGGGCGCUAGAAGAGGAGUUAGAGGACUUGGAGUUAGGCCUCUGAGGCCUUUGGGGAAUAGGGAAUGGACUGCAGAACAAACCAUGGGGCUCUCUGGGGUCUGGGGGAAUAUGGGCAACAGCAGUCAGGAGGGGUACCCCCCAUACUGGCUUACUUCCACCUCUUGCGGCCCAGCUCUGUCCUCCAGAGCCUAGCAUCUCCCUCAAUCCUUCCCUUUUCUUCCCAACUUC